Molecule: long non-coding RNA, 245 nt
Filed under: Elaeis guineensis (African oil palm)
Lineage: Eukaryota; Viridiplantae; Streptophyta; Magnoliopsida; Arecales; Arecaceae
Description: long non-coding RNA (EGUI_LNC064259)
Source: RNAcentral
GGUGCCAGUUCAACCAGCAUGACUCUAAUCCAAUUCAAUGACUUGGUGAAGUUAGUGAAAAAAUUAUGGUUUACUAAUUGAUUUCUUCUUUUCUCAAUUCAUAAAUUAAAUUCUCUAAAUUAUUAGAUCCAUAAAAUGAGUUGGUUAUGGUGAUAACUAGAUCAUAGCCUCCCAUUAAGUUUGGUGAUGAUGGGUCCAUUAGUAUGAUGACCAUUGGAGGCCCAAAGGUCUGGUGCUCAUCUGCU